This 333-nucleotide ribosomal RNA is filed under the name uncultured beta proteobacterium. Its description in RNAcentral is "bacterial SSU rRNA". It matches the Rfam family "Bacterial small subunit ribosomal RNA", at positions 9 to 342 of the family's 1533-position model. Lineage: Bacteria; Pseudomonadati; Pseudomonadota; Betaproteobacteria. The record is from RNAcentral.
GAGUUUGAUCAUGGCUCAGAUUGAACGCUGGCGGCAUGCCUUACACAUGCAAGUCGAGCGGCAGCGCGGGGGCAACCCUGGCGGCGAGCGGCGAACGGGUGAGUAAUACAUCGGAACGUGUCCUUUCGUGGGGGAUAACCAGUCGAAAGACUGGCUAAUACCGCAUGAGAUCUCACGAUGAAAGCGGGGGACCGCAAGGCCUCGCGCUAACAGGAUGAGCCCAAGUCGGAUUAGCUAGUUGGUGGGGUAAAAGCCUACCAAGGCGACGAUCCGUAGCCUGGUCUGAGAGGACGAUCAGCCACACUGGGACUGAGACACGGCCCAGACUCCUAC